GAUGAACGCUGGCGGCGUGCCUAAUACAUGCAAGUCGAGCGAACGGACGAGAAGCUUGCUUCUCUGAUGUUAGCGGCGGACGGGUGAGUAACACGUGGAUAACCUACCUAUAAGACUGGGAUAACUUCGGGAAACCGGAGCUAAUACCGGAUAAUAUUUUGAACCGCAUGGUUCAAAAGUGAAAGACGGUCUUGCUGUCACUUAUAGAUGGAUCCGCGCUGCAUUAGCUAGUUGGUAAGGUAACGGCUUACCAAGGCAACGAUGCAUAGCCGACCUGAGAGGGGGAUCGGCCACACUGGAACUGAGACACGGUCCAGACUCCUACGGGAGGCAGCAGUAGGGAAUCUUCCGCAAUGGGCGAAAGCCUGACGGGCAACGCCGCGUGAGUGAUGAAGGUCUUCGGAUCGUAAAACUCUGUUAUUAGGGAAGAACAUAUGUGUAAGUAACUGUGCACAUCUUGACGGUACCUAAUCAGAAAGCCACGGCUAACUACGUG
Molecule: ribosomal RNA, 496 nt
Filed under: uncultured bacterium
Lineage: Bacteria
Description: partial 16S ribosomal RNA
Rfam family: Bacterial small subunit ribosomal RNA
Source: RNAcentral